CUACGGGGGGCUGCAGUGGGGAAUAUUGCACAAUGGGCGCAAGCCUGAUGCAGCCAUGCCGCGUGUAUGAAGAAGGCCUUCGGGUUGUAAAGUACUUUCAGCGGGGAGGAAGGGAGUAAAGUUAAUACUUUUGCUCAUUGACGUUACCCGCAGAAGAAGCACCGGCUAACUCCGUGGCCAGCAGCCGCGGUAAUACGGAGGGUGCAAGCGUUAAUCGGAAUUACUGGGCGUAAAGCGCACGCAGGCGGUUUGUUAAGUCAGAUGUGAAAUCCCCGGGCUCAACCUGGGAACUGCAUCUGAUACUGGCAAGCUUGAGUCUCGUAGAGGGGGGUAGAAUUCCAGGUGUAGCGGUGAAAUGCGUAGAGAUCUGGAGGAAUACCGGUGGCGAAGGCGGCCCCCUGGACGAAGACUGACGCUCAGGUGCGAAAGCGUGGGGAGCAAACAGGAUUAGAUACCCCGGUAGUC
This 465-nucleotide ribosomal RNA is filed under the name uncultured bacterium. Its description in RNAcentral is "partial 16S ribosomal RNA". It matches the Rfam family "Bacterial small subunit ribosomal RNA", at positions 339 to 795 of the family's 1533-position model. The record is from RNAcentral.